RNAcentral lists this ribosomal RNA (378 nucleotides) under uncultured Anaerolineaceae bacterium. RNAcentral's name for it is "bacterial SSU rRNA". It matches the Rfam family "Bacterial small subunit ribosomal RNA", at positions 989 to 1382 of the family's 1533-position model. Lineage: Bacteria; Bacillati; Chloroflexota; Anaerolineae; Anaerolineales; Anaerolineaceae. The record is from RNAcentral.
AAGUAGUAGGAAAGGAAACUGGACCGACCUUCGGGAGCUUGUACAGGUGCUGCAUGGCUGUCGUCAGCUCGUGUCGUGAGAUGUUCGGUUAAGUCCGCUAACGAGCGCAACCCUCGCUGUGUGUUACAAGUGUCACACGGAACUGCCGGUCAUAAACCGGAGGAAGGUGGGGAUGACGUCAAGUCAGCAUGGCCUUUAUAUCCUGGGCUACACACACGCUACAAUGGGAAGGGACAAUAGGUUGCGAAGCCGCGAGGCGGAGCCAAUCCAGCAAAACUUCCCUCAGUUCAGAUUGCAGGCUGCAACUCGCCUGCAUGAAGUUGGAGUUGCUAGUAAACGCAGGUCAGCCAUACUGCGUUGAAUACGUUCCCGGGGCUU